CAGACUGCUGCGGAUUGUGGCUGAGUUGUUAGGGGGAAGCCCUGACGAAAAUCCCGGACAGCCGUGUAACAUUUGUGUUUUCUGUCGACCAGGAAGGCUCAUCGGAAACGGACCGCAACAGACAUCAGGCCGCUGGCUCAUCCAACCCGGCUGAAAGACAAACACCGGCUCAACGGGGGAGCUGCGCUGGGACUUCCUCUACUUUUGAAACCCAACGACUGAGAAACUGCAGUUCAAAGUGACUCUGAUGAGUUUGAGCUCAAUCGUUUUCUGUGACAUCAGUGUUUGCAGUAUACACACACACACGUAUUCAGCCAACUCUUUAAACGGCACAAAGUGACGUCAACGGCUACAAAGCUGCUUGUGCCGCCACGGCAACUCAUAUCUGAGUCACGGAGGCUUUGUGGCGCGUCUGUCAUGCCUCUGAGGUCAGAGCGAGUCAAGAAGAUACACUCAGCGACAGAUAAGAAAAGCGGUUUCUUCCUCACAGUUUCUGUACUCACCAG
Oryzias melastigma (Indian medaka) is the source of this 506-nucleotide long non-coding RNA. RefSeq lists it as uncharacterized. The record is from RefSeq and is a predicted model, not a curated record. NCBI's taxonomy places the organism in Eukaryota, Metazoa, Chordata, Actinopteri, Beloniformes, Adrianichthyidae. The transcript has 4 exons.